This is an RNA transcript of Bombus huntii, 13547 nucleotides long. It is a transcript of the gene named protocadherin-like wing polarity protein stan, with no coding region annotated. The record is from RefSeq and is a predicted model, not a curated record. The transcript is spliced from 12 exons. Lineage: Eukaryota; Metazoa; Arthropoda; Insecta; Hymenoptera; Apidae.
UGAUAUUUGAUGUAUCUGUAGUCCCUGCACAUAUCGAAUUCGAACCGACAUACAAUUUUCCAUAUUUUUUCAUGUUUCUAACGAAAUUAAAGGGACGAAAGAACGUCGACGAGUAUCUCGUCGGCAAACUCUGUGAAUUGCUGUUAUUCGAUGACCGGAGACGAUGAAUAGUAUGCGAGUAAACGAAAAGCGGACGAUGGACUAUCCACGACGUGUGGUAUUUGAAAAAGUCAGCGAGGAUUCGUUUUAACCAUCGUGGACGAUUAAUUUUACGUAGUGGAGAAACACACGAGGAAUAGGAGUCUCCAGGCGAAAAGAUGUUAUCGUUAUCGCGCAUUUUCCAGCAGGCGGUUAACCGGAAUUUAAGAGUCGGCAACGUGUGAGCGAGAACGAGCAUGGAAUAUCAAGCUGUCUGCACCGUCCAUGGAAUACCAUCGCUGGACGCGUUUCAUCGCGUAAGAACGUACGCACCCAAGCUCGGCGGAAAAUCGAUCGUCUUUCGAGCUAUUUUUUUCGAAGCAAAUGGAGCCGAAGAAUAAUCGUUCGCAAUUAUAUUCGAAGUGCGAUCAUUUGCGAGUAAACGUAGCCGGAGUAAACGUUUAACACGAACGACAGAGAACGGUAGUUGGCACGUAGGUGUUACACCCAUUGAUUCGUAUCUGAUUCGUUCGAGCAAUUAUGUUAAUAACGACGGACGAAGGCAGACGUAGCUCGAGGUUAUUAGAGGGCACCAGCGUGUCUGAAACUUUAGCUCUACCACUAUCUUAACGAUCUGCGAAUCGUUUCGUCCUACGCGUUACCGUAAACUCAUCGGUGCAAUCUCGAAGUCGAGAGCGAGCGCCGAUGAUUCGCGAGUUUUCAUCUCGCGGUGUGCAAUUUCGUUUUCUAUGCAGCUCGCCCGACGGAUCUUCUUGCGACACGUUGGUCACUCAUGGUACCGGUUUUUACCGCUGAGUUUCUGCGAUGCGAUCGUGGACUCGCGCAAGGGAAAGGUGGCAAAACGUAGCAAACGUUGGAUAAAGCGCGGACAUUAGAGACGAAAGCGUAAGGAAGCGAUUUCUUGGUGAUUCAUUCGAGCGGAGUAUUAUCGAAGCCGAGGAGAAACUCGUCAUGCUCGGCAGUAACGAAGAGCCGAUCGCGUGUGCUAUGGCAAUUUUUAUCGUAAGUCUCUGCCGAGCAAAAGAUGACAAAGCGAUGGUAAACGUAGCUGUGUACAUUGGAGAUGAGAGCGCGAAGAAGACUAUAGCUUAGUAAUUAUUCCGAGCGAAGUAUUAUCGAAGCGAAGGGAAGAUCGUGCGUCGCGUCGCGAAGAGGAACGAAGAAGCGGCCCUCCGCCUAUAAGCAUCACGUCCCUGGCCACCUCCUCGGCUCGUUCGUUCGUUUUUUUCUUGUUCUCGUCGGGUCGUUUUGUUCCGAAGGCGAGUCGGCUGGUCCGUGCUCGUUGUCUACCUGCUCGUAGCUGGUUGUGCAAGCGGUGGUUCGAUUGGUUCGUGCCGAUGCACCAUCCGUUUGGAUUGGUCAAACCGGAUCGGUUAGCCUCCGGGGAAGGAGGAUCGCGAGCCGAUGCCACCAGAGACCUAUCGUGCUCUUGCUACGGUCAACUAGUCCCGUGAUCUCGAGGACCGGCGAUUCUCUAACGCAACAAGACAAACAGGACAAAGAAGAAGAUGCUCGUUGCAGACGGUCGUCCUUUGCGCCACGUAUUACCUUGGGCCUUAUUAAACACGCGCAAACGCGUUGAAACGGGUUGCCGUUACAGUACCACAGUACGAGUAGAGUGGACCAUUUAUAACUAUACCGAGCCUCCCCUUCGAAUAACACAGCGUUCCAAGUCGUUGGGGAAUCGUUCGUUCAGAUCGGAUAAUCGAGGAAAACUUGCACCUUUCGUAUCGUAAUUGUAGUUAGGAGAAAUUAUUUACUUGCUCAUUACGUAUUUUCAGACGCCUCACGAUGGUGUACUAUGUCAGAGAACGUUCGAUAUCUUAAGGUUUAAAAAUUGCAUGUUUGAAAAUUCGAAUUUUACGAGAUGGCUGGUACGUUACAACAACGGACAGGUUGAACGAAUUUGCCGUAAAAGGGAACGCGAGUCUCUUGGUGCAAGGAGGGUGAAACGAGCGGAAAUCGUCGUUCCCACGUUUUACAGCGGGUAUCGCAUUCUCACAGCGGCGGAAGAUAUUCGGUGCGAGAAAGCGGCGGUGCUAGAUGCGUUUUUUCAUCGAUUCUUCCGCGCUUGAAGAAAAUGCAAUUAACUAGAAACGAAAAGUUCCGUCUCGCUCCGAUUAAUAAAGUCGAACGAAACUCUUGAUUCUCCUGUAAACGAACUCUACGAUCUACCGCUUUUUGCUCCUAGUUUCCUAGGUCGUACGUACUCGAUGACCUCUUCUAGGCACGAUGAAUUAUUCAACGGCUCUCGAGACUUCUCGUUUCUCUUGUUUCGCGUCAAAUAUUUUGUGAGUUAUCAGAGUGAAGAAAGUCAGCGAACGAUUCGAAUCCUCUUUUCCUGCUCGUGUCUUGCUCAAGGUCGUGAUCUUUGAACCAACCACUCGCACGAUUGCCUCUCGUGUCCUCUACUUAGACGUCGAAACCAGUUUAAAGCCAACCGAACUAAGAAGUAACGCUAUCUGCUUUAUUAUUCAAACAAUUAGAAUUGCAUUAACCAAAUAAAUAUCUUACGAGCUUGUAAAAAGUAUAAAAAUCAAAGUGACACGAAAUCAACGUCGAAGAGAAACGAUUCGCCGAUUGUUUCGAGAAAUUUAUAUAUUUAACUUAUUAACCUAUUAAGCAACCAACGUUGCAUUCCUUCCUUUGUAAUUCUCCUUCAGCCGAUUCGCAUUAUCGCAUUUUCUUUUGAAUCCCAUUUUUCAGUUUCACUUUCUCCCUCCACCUAUCUUCUCAAAUACGCAAAAUUUUCAAGAACUCGAAGUAUCUAUAGAUCUUUACCUAUUACGAUACCCACUGUUCCAACUGCCGAAGGAAAUUGCCGAAGGUUCGGACCUGUCCCGAGGACGCGAACUGGAACGUUGACGAAACGCCGGAACGAAGCGCGACGUGCUAUCGGAGAGGCGAUAGAGAGCCAAAGAGAACCACGAAUAUGCGUUUAUCGUUCGAUAAACACCGCUUUCAGUUUCAAAUCUAAAAAGCAGAUUUUCUGUUUUACAGAUGGAAGGCCGCACGAGCGUACGUUGAACCGAACGAGCGAGCAGAAAGGGGAUCGGCGACAAUGGGACACUUGUCUGGGAGGGUAGAACACGCGAAGAAGGAGCGGUCGUUGUAAGAGGGUGGUUGUCAUGGCGAGGUGGAAAUGGAUCCUCCCGUUGCUCGCGGCUUUCUGCACCCUGACCGACGCGUACCUGGCGGUGCUGUCUUCGAGCACGCCAGCCGGCAGCGUGGUUUUCGAGGCAGGUGUACCGCAGCUGGGUGGGCGUCGAAAGUACGAGGUCUCGAACGAGAGGACCGCCUGGUUUGCCAGGAAGCUGCUCAAGGUGCAUCCUCACACUGGCCGGGUCACGUUGGCGCGACCUUUGAGCUGCGACGGUCUUCAGUAUCCGCGAAUCUUCACCUUCUACGUGGACUCGACCAGUUCAAGGUUAGGCAGACCGACGAUCGACUACUACAGUCUGCCACUCAGGAUCCUGAUCACCGGUUGCGGCGGAGAGAAUCGAGAUCUGGCUGCUACCAGGGGAUGGAUGGCGGAGACUUUGGCCUCGUACGCUAUGCCCAGCACCGAGAGGUUCACGGAGGUCUGCCUUAGAACGUCUCAACUGGUAGCAGCGUUGCGAGACUUCCUUCCACAGACUGCCCUAAAAGAGUGCGAGACUAGGUGGGGUGGCGUAGCGGAUCCCAGGUUUCUGAUCGAAGGUGCAGCAGGAGAUUUGGUCUCGGCAACGGAGCAAUGCCUGGUGGAUCCUCUUUGGAAAAUCUCCGUAUCGAUGAACCUCAGAUGCGGCAUCGAAUCGCGGUUAACCGACGCGGAACAUCGUCUGAAGAUCGUCUUUCAUCACCGUCAACUGGACGACACGGAUCUCGGCAGGCGAGUCCGCAGAGAAUUGAAGAAUCAGUCUCCGUAUUUCGAGCAAUCCCUGUACGUUGCGGUCGUCGAAGAGGAAAAAGAACCUGGCGCCUACGUAACAUCCGUCAGAGCCAGGGAUCCUGAAGGAGGCACGGUUCGUUACUCCAUGAGUUCUCUGUUAGAUGCACGAUCACAGGCGUUACUCGUCUUGGAUCCAGUUACGGGAAGGGUUACGACACGCGCUAGAUUAGAUAGAGAGAGCGUGGACGUUCACUAUUUUCGGGUACUUGCCGUGGACGACUCGUUCCCUCCGAGAACCGGUACUACCACCUUACAGGUGAACGUCCUGGAUACGAACGAUCACGCGCCAACCUUCGAGUGGCCGGAAGACGAGGCUUCUAUCAGAGAGGGUGUACCAGUUGGUUCUACGGUUGUUACGGUCAAAGCUACGGACCAAGAUACAGGCAGAAACGCCGAAGUCGAAUAUUCCAUCUUAUCGACGACCAGCGGCAGUGGAGUGGCGAACGCCGACGACGCUCUGACCUUCAGGAUAGAUCCGAGAACCGGUGUUGUUACAACGCGUACGCCUCUCGACAGAGAAAAGACCGAGGUGUACACGGUCAUUCUGAGCGUGUCCGAUCAGGCGACACCACCUUCCGCGCGAAAAUCCGCGAACGCCACGCUGGUCGUCCGCGUGCUAGACGAUAAUGAUAAUUACCCUCAAUUCACUGAACGUACGUACUCUGCUUGGAUACCGGAGGACUUGGAUUACACGGCGAAUCCGGUGAUAGCGCGCAUACGCGCAACGGACGCGGAUUCGGGGAACAACGCGGCUGUUCGAUACGCCAUAAUCGGUGGAAACACGCAGAACACUUUUUCCAUAGACUCUAUGAUCGGCGACGUGGCUCUCGUCAAGCCUCUGGAUUACGAAUCCACCAGGAGUUACAAGAUAGUUAUACGCGCUCAGGACGGCGGUUCGCCAGCCAGGUCGAACACUACGCAGUUGUUAGUGCACGUAGGAGAUGUGAAUGAUAAUGCGCCGCGAUUUUAUACCAGUCACUUUCAAGAGUCCGUGUCGGAGAACGUUCCUAUAGGAUACUCGAUGCUGAGGAUACAGGCGUACGACGCUGACGAGGGUGCGAACGCUCAAAUAAAGUACACUAUAGGGGCGCGAGACUUCUCCGGAGCUUCCACCGAAAACUUCCCCAUAACAGUUAACACGGAGACUGGGUGGAUCUAUACAACGAAACAGCUCGAUCGUGAGCAAUGUUCAAGGUACCAGUUCACCGUGAUUGCAGCGGACUCUGGUGAAGUACCCAAAUCUGCGAGCGCUACCGUGAUACUCACCGUAACCGACGUGAACGACAACGAUCCUUAUUUCGACCCUAAGAACUACGAAGCUGUGGUCUCUGAAGACGAUCCCCCGGGCACUCCUGUCACCUCUGUCACGGCGACCGAUCCUGACGAGGACGCUAGGAUACAUUACGAAAUCACCGCUGGCAAUACUAGAGGUCGAUUCUCUAUCGCGUCUCAGAAUGGACGUGGUUUGAUAACAGUAGCUCAACCGCUCGAUUAUAAGCAAGAAAAGAGGUUCGUUCUUACUGUUACGGCCUCCGAUAGCGGUGGUAGAACCGACACAGCUCUCGUUUAUGUCAACGUCUCGGACGCCAAUAAUUUCGAACCGGUUUUUGAGAACACACCGUACGCUGUGUCACUGUUCGAAGAUGCGCCUAUUGGCACAACAGUUCUCGUCGUCAGCGCGACCGAUUCAGACGUUGGAAAGAAUGCUCAAAUCACCUACAGUUUAGGCACCGAUGGUGGAGAGUCAGCGUCCGAAUUUACUAUAAAUCCGCAAACAGGAGCUAUCACGACCACUCGUACUUUGGAUCGUGAACUUGUACCUGGCUAUUUCCUAACUGUUACCGCGAGAGACGGAGGCGUGCCACCUUUAUCGGAUACCAUCAACGUGGAAAUAUCCGUUACGGAUGUGAACGACAACGCUCCUGUUUUCGAAUCUCCUCAAUACCAAGGAUCCAUUCCAGAAGAUGUUGCGGGUGGUACUAGUGUUCUCAGAGUUUCCGCCACCGACGCGGAUACAGAUCUCAAUGGCAGAGUGAGAUACGCUUUGGAAGACGACGGGGAUGGCGCCUUUGCUAUAGACUCAAGCACGGGUGUAAUUAGAACAGCCAAGCCAUUGGACAGAGAAUCUGUCGCCAUGUACACUUUGAAAGCAGUUGCGAUGGACAGAGGAUCUCCGUCUCUCUCGACGGUAGUGCCAGUGACAAUUAAAAUACAGGAUGUGAACGAUUCUCCACCCGCUUUCGAGAACGACAAGAUCGUUCUUUACAUAGCCGAAAAUUCACCGAUCGGUUCAACCGUCGGUGAAAUUUACGCGCACGAUCCGGACGAAGGACCAAACGCCGUUGUACAGUAUUCCGUGAUAGGAGGCGAGGAUUCAAACAGUUUCGCCCUGAAUGUCAGGUCAGGUGCGGAUCGCGCGGAACUGAUUACGCUCGAAGAACUGGACUACGAGUCGCCGAAGAAAAAGUUCGAGUUAGUCGUGCGUGCCGCUUCGCCUCCUUUGCGAUCGGAUGCUCUAGUUCAGAUACUAGUAACCGACGUGAAUGACAACGCGCCCGUAUUGAAAGACUUUCAGAUUAUAUUCAAUAACUUCAAAGAUUUCUUUCCGACCGCUCCCAUAGGUAAGAUACCUGCUGUGGACGCAGACGUCACGGAUAAGUUAACAUACACCGUGCUUGCUGGAAACAAUGCUAAUUUGAUCGACUUGAACAGAACCACCGGUGAAAUCCGACUGUCGCCGCAAUUGAACACGAAUGUACCACGUGUCGCGACGAUGGAGGUGUCCGUCACGGACGGUAUCAACGAGGUCAAGGCCACGAUGACUCUCUCGGUGCGCCUCAUCACCGAUAAAAUGCUCCUCAAUUCCAUCACCGUUAGAUUAGACGAUAUGACGGCCGAGGCUUUCCUCAGUCCUCUGCUGGGAUAUUUUCUGGAUGGUUUGGCAGCAAUUAUCCCGUGCCCCAGAGAGAACAUCUUUCUCUUUAGCAUACAGGAGGACGCCAAUGUAAAUGGGAAGAUCCUAAACGUGAGCUUCUCUGCGCGUAAAGUAGAACCAGGCGUGACGGACGAGUUUUACAGCCCGCAAUUUCUUCAAGAACGUGUGUAUCUGAACAGGGGUAUACUGGCGAGACUGGCCACAGUUACGGUGCUACCGUUCGACGAUAAUCUUUGCGUCAGAGAACCCUGUUUGAAUUUCGAGGAAUGCAUAACGGUAUUAAAGUUUGGAAACGCUUCUGGAUUCGCUAGUAGCGAUACUGUAUUGUUUAGACCUAUAUAUCCGGUAACGACCUUCGCGUGCAGAUGCGCGAAGGGUUUCACUGGUAGCAAAGAAUCUUACUUAUGCGACACGGAGGUUAACUUAUGCUACUCGAAUCCGUGUAUGAACGAUGGCACUUGUUACAGAAGAGAAGGAGGAUACGCAUGUUUCUGCGGCCCUGAAUUCGCGGGAGAAAACUGCGAAAUCUCGUUGAAUAAGGAUUCCUGCGCUCCAGGGAUCUGUAAAGGAGGCUCCCAGUGUACCAUGAAAACGACUGGCGGUUUCACGUGCGAAGGUUGCCCUGUGACAACUCUAGAAAGCGUGACUCCACUGUGCGAGCUGAAAGCUCGUAGCUUUGGAUCGGCAACGUUCCUCACGUUCGCGUCUCUAAGGCAAAGACACAGACUGCAUAUCAAAUUAAGAUUCGCUACCGAAGGAGCAAAUGGUCUUUUGCUUUACAACGGGCGAUACAACGAGAAACACGACUUCAUAGCUUUAGAGAUAAUCGAUUCCGAGGUACAGUUCAGUUUUUCCCUUGGUGACGAGAUUACCCGAGCGAGUGCCAGCAUACCUGGUGGAGUAUCUGAUGGUCAGUGGCACGAAGUGGAAGUCUCUUACAUAAAUAAAACUGUAACGAUCUCGCUUGACAACUGUGACGUUGCUCUCGCUUUGGAAUACGGCAAAAGACUUGGAUCGAGGUGGUCUUGCGCGGGAAGAAGCGAACAAGUGUUGGAGGAACGUUGUAGCAUCGUCACCGAGACGUGUCAUCGAUUCUUAGAUCUAACAGGACCUUUACAAUUAGGUGGCCUGCCUGCUAUACCAUCCAGUUUUCGCAUCAGAAACAAAGAUUUCGUGGGUUGCGUCAGCGACCUGUACAUCGAUCAUAUUUUCAUCGAUCUAAAUUCAUUUGUAGCUGACAAUGGCACUAACCCUGGUUGCCCGGAGAAGGUUUCUUUCUGUUCAUCGACUCCGUGCAAAAAUAACGGCAAGUGUCGGGAGAUAUGGUCCGGUUUCGUUUGCGAGUGCGAAGAGAAUUUUGCUGGACCUACCUGCGCUGACGAAGUCGGUAAACCAUGGAACUUCCACGGUGACGGAAUGCUCAGCUUUAAUCCUUUGCUAAGACCAAUCCAGCUUCCCUGGUUAACAGCGCUUAGUCUGAGAACGCGAUCCAAGCAGGCGUUCGUCAUGAGCGUGCAAAUAGGGCAAAACAGUUCUGCGUUGCUCGAGAUCCGAGAGGGUAAACUAGUUGCUCUGUUAGACGGCGCGGACAUCAUUCAAACAUGGAACGAUGUCGCCGAUGGCGAAUGGCACAGAGUGGAGAUCAUCUGGCAAAGUGGUCACGUCUCUCUCGAUAUCGAUUACCGGAAUAGGCCCAUAUCCUCGUCAUUACCAGCGAAAUUACAGGGUCUGUACAUCGGUAGGAUCCUGGUCGGUGGACCGGAGCAAUCGAUGAACACCGAGCUACCAUAUUUCGACGGCUGCCUCCAGGACAUUCGUAUAGGCAGCAACCAAAGCGUAUUAUUAAGACCGACCGUUCAGGAGAACGUCGCGACCGGCUGCAGCUCGGAGGCCGAGUGCAACGUCGACUGUCCGGAGGCAUCGAUUUGCGUUCCAAAAUGGCAAGCGGGCGAGUGCGUCUGCGCGACCGGUCGCGUAGGACGUAAUUGCGACCGCGUUUGCGAUUUGAAUCCCUGUAACAGUACUGGAACCUGUAUCGAGGAUACGGCCUCUCGUAGGGGAUACAGAUGCGAUUGUAACUCGCCAGAAUACUCCGGAGACUACUGCGAGAUUAAAGCUGACCAACCUUGCCCGGCAACCUGGUGGGGCUCGCCUGUGUGCGGGCCAUGUCAUUGCGACGAGUCCAAGGGCUAUGAUCCUGCAUGCAAUAAGACUACAGGCGAAUGUUACUGUAAGGAGAAUCACUAUCAACCUUCUGGUAAAAAGGAGUGCAUUCCAUGCGAAUGUUAUGCAACCGGAAGCUUCGGUCCUCGCUGUGACACCGAGACUGGACAGUGCCGGUGCAGAAUCGGGGUCAUUGGACGGUCUUGUACGGCGUGUCCCAAUCCAUAUGCCGAAGUCACUCUUCGUGGCUGCGAGGUGGUGUAUGAUGGGUGUCCUAGAUCUUACGCCGAAGGUUUAUGGUGGCCGAGGACCAAGUUUGGAAUGACUGCUGUCGAGGAUUGUCCUGAUAUCGCUGAAGGAAAGACUUCUAGAUCCUGUGACGACAAACUGGGUGGUUGGCAAGAACCUGAUCUCUUUAACUGCACCUCAGAAGCGUUCAUCGAGCAAAGACAUCAGCUAGCCGCGUUAGAGACCAAGGAUUUGACUUUGAAUACCUAUGUCGCUGUUAAAAUAGCAAAAGACGUGCACAGAGCGGUGAACGAGACCAAAGACUUGUACGGAGCUGAUCUGUUGAUCGCAGAAUCCUUGCUGAUAGCAUUGUUGCAGUAUGAGGAGAGUUUGGUCGGAUUGAACUUGACUCAUAGUCAAGAUAAAGAUUACGUUUCUCAUUUGGUUGGCAUUUCUAGCUAUAUUCUGAAAUCCAAAUAUGCGGAGAAAUGGUCGAGGAUUGAGAUGCUUAACGGUGAUACUCCUGACAAGAUUUUGGAUGCAAUGGCGAAUUAUUUGAAGACCUUGACUGCGUCUCAACAUGAUACUUUUACUAAUCCUUUUGAAGUAGUCGACACUAAUGUUGUAUUAGGUUUAGAUGUAGUAACUUCUGAAAGUUUAUUCGGAUACGAGACUGCAGAAUACAUGGAUGAUCCGUCAGCGUCUACGGUAAGGCCAACUGAAGCGGAUCAGAAGGUUGUCUUGCCUGAUACUUCUGCGUUCCUGUCGUCCCCUGCUCAUUUCGGCCCGUCAAUUACUUUCCCAAAGUAUAACAAUUACAUGGCCGAUCCAAGCAGAUUCGAUCCAUAUUCAAAGAUACGAGUGCCUCUUAAUAUAUUAGGCAUAAAACCUCUAAUGCAAGGGGAAUUAAAUGUUAAAAAAAGUUUGGUCAAUCGAAAGGCUGUGUUGAGUUACGUGCAAUAUAAGCAAUUAGGUGCCCUGCUGCCUCAAAGAUUCGAUGAUUCCGUAGCAGUUAGAUGGGGCGUAGAAGUAGCGGUAGGCUCUCCAGUCGUAACAGUAUCCGUUUUAGUACCUUCGGAUGACGGUUACGAGUCUCUGACUGGAAUUCCUUUGCAAUCUCCAGUUCAAAUUAGUCUUUGGCUCAGCGAGAAGGAUGAGUUCAAGACUAGAACCAAUCCACAAUGUGUACAUUGGAGUACAAUUAGAGGAAUCGGUGAAUGGAGCCGAAUAGGUUGUACUACGGAAGUCGAGGAUGAUUCUCUGUCUUUCGGCACCAUCGUAAACUGCUCCUGUUUCCAGUUAUCCACUUUUGCAAUACUAACGGACGUACUUGAUCCAGAAUACGUCCCAGAACCGUCUUUACUGGAAGAUGUAACGAGCUAUAGUGCGUUUAUGCUCGCGUUGCCUUUGCUAUUAUCUGCCUUACUCAUUCUGGCUUUGAUACGAGGCGGUGGUACAAAUUCGAAUAGUAUCCAUAAAAAUUUGGUAAUGUGCGUUUUCUUCGCCGAAGUGCUCUACUUGAUCGCGCUCAAAGCCAGAAGUCCUCUAGUCUCGAAUGAGUUUCCGUGUAAACUAACGGCCAUUGGUUUACACUAUGCUUGGUUGAGUACAUUCUCGUGGACUUUGGUGGACUCCAUUCAUCUAUAUCGGAUGUUAACCGAAAUGAGAGACGUGAACCAUGGACAAAUGAGAUUCUACUAUACAAUGGGCUAUGGAGCUCCAGCUAUCAUUGUUGGACUGACUAUCGGCGUUAGAGCCGAUCAAUACGGAAACUUUUAUUUCUGUUGGUUAUCAAUUUAUGAAACCGUGAUUUGGUCUUUGAUAGGACCAGUUUGCCUAGCAGUUUUUGUGAACUUCUGCAUUCUUGUCAUGUCAGUACGAGCGGCGUUUACAUUAAAAGAACACAUUAUGGGUUUUGGAAAUUUAAGGACGUUACUCUGGUUAUCGGUAGCUUCGUUACCUUUACUUGGAUCUACAUGGACUCUGACAGUUCUCAAUGCCUCCGAAAAUUCUCCAACAUUGUCAUACCUGCUUAGUAUAGCAGUAGUCGUUCAUGCGUCAUUUAGUUUGGUUGGUUAUUGCUUCAUUAAUGGUAGAGUAAGAAGGAAUCUGUAUUUAAGUUUAUUGAGAUGCAUUGGGAAAAAGACACCUUUGUUAGAAGGAAGUAUGGGAAACGGAAGCAGCAGCCAGAACGUAAACGGUCACUCGCGGUCUGCGUUGGCGUACUCGUCAACGUAUAGUGGAGCAGAGUCCGUGUGUAGGAGAGUCCACGUAGGAGUCUCGACGAGUAGUACAACUUCACGAAGUACAAAUAAAACUGGGUCCAGCCCCUAUCGUAGCGAUACACAUUUAAGGCAUACGUCAACAUCCACGAGCAAUUAUAAUAGCGACAGAGAUCCUUAUAUGUCUUCUAGAAGCCAUAGAUCAACGUUACAUUCUAGACAAGAAGCGACAGAACCAAGGAAUCAACGUAGAGAUUCCGAAUCAGAUUCAGACGGAUCCCAAGCAGAAGGUGGCGGAAGAAGCUUAGAUCUUGCGAGUUCGCACAGCUCCGACGAAGAAGAUGUUACGUCAAGGUCGCACCGAAAUAUGGGCGUCUCGACGCAGCAACCAGUCGCACACAAUUAUUUGCCUAAUAUUCACAGCAAUCCUACCGAACACUUGAACAUACUUUGCUCAAACACCGAACUAUUCCCAAACAUUAAACCAAUUUACGCGCCUAGGUGGAGUUCUCAGUUACCAGAAGCAUAUUUAUCAUCAAAUGUAAUAGACGUGCGCGGAAGUCAAUGGUCUGGAGGUACCAUGUCCGACAACGAAAUGGCCUCGAACAAGACUUCUAGUCCGAAUCCACUGCCUUAUCCCGAAAUGAAUUCGCCUCAGAAGAGUCAACCGGAUGAAAAUUAUUCGGAAGGGGAAGAGAAGCUUCAUCACUUGGGAGAAAAAUACUUGUUCCCAUAUACAGCUGAGGAAGAUCACACUGUCUCACCUACUCCAUACAUGCUACCCAUUUCUUCGCGCAUUCUUGCAUCCAGCAUGAGCCAUCACUCGCAAAAUUCAAACCAUGAGAAUCUGAGUGGCUCAGAAAGAUAUGGAAGUCUGAAGAGGGGGCAGAGUCUACAUGGUUCUCAACACGAUAACCUCAGUGGCUCGGAAAGAUACGGUAGCUUAAAGCGCGGCAAAAUGACACCGACUGUGCUGGAAGAUUCACCGGAAUAUAUUCUACCUAUGAGCGGUAGAAUAUUGUCCAGUUCACUGACUCACGAUUUACAGCAUAGCAAUGAAUUGGCUGCGCUCAGACAACAGCAGCAGCAACAAUACGAACAGACCAUUACGGAGACCGAGUGAGUAUGAUGUAUUACAUUUGAGAAAAAUAUCUUGCGUCACAACAAAUGGUAUCGAUGUAGUUUAACUAAGUUCAUUUGCUUUAUAAUUUACGCUUACCCUGGAAUGUGACAAUUAGUGAAGAGGAAGGAUACUAAUGCGGAAACGUCAGUAUGACAAUCUCCGUGCUACAAACAAACACCGUACAAAGUAAUAUAACGUACUAUUAGCUUAAAAUUCAAAUGAUUAAAUAUAUAUAUAUAUAUAUAGAUAUAGAUAUAUAUAUAUUUCUUAGAGUGGUAAUUGCUCUAAGGUAUAUUUUAAGAGCGGCCAUGACUGUACUUACAAAGUUAGCCAUAUGGAUUAGUAUGUAUGUGUGAGUGCCUGUACGUAUCUAUAUACAUACGCUUGUCGGUAUUUCGUUUCGUGUGAUUCCAGCUUCAGUCGGAAGCGACUCUUUCGACUUCUUCGUUAACGAUAAACGCGACGAAUGGUCGGAAGACAUAUGAUCUCUAGUUCAUUUCAUCAUUCGUGUAAUUAAUAUCACUUUCUCUAGUACCUUAAUUUUUAAACUCAGUAUUGUGCAAUGUAUACAUUCCAAUUUCACUUUAUAUUUAGAUUCUAUUUUCUUCCUUCAUUUUCUUUUCUCUCCCUCCUUUUUUUUUUAAGAAGUUUACAAUGUUUUAUACAUGCCAUGUGGAAGAAUCGUACAACUGUGCGGCGCAAUUUCCAUAGUUUUGUAUAUAUUUAUAUGAAAAGAAUGUGACAAAAUACAUAAUUUAUACAUAUCCUUCAUCGGAUGACCGCGAA